GCGAAUGGCUCAUUAAAUCAGUUAUCGUUUAUUUGAUAGUACCUUACUACUUGGAUAACCGUGGUAAUUCUAGAGCUAAUACAUGCUGAAAACCCCAACUUCGGGAGGGGUGUAUUUAUUAGAUAAAAAACCAACGCCCUUCGGGGCUUUUUGGUGAUUCAUGAUAACUUUACGGAUCGCAUGGCCUUGCGCCGGCGACGGUUCAUUCAAAUUUCUGCCCUAUCAACUUUCGAUGGUAAGGUAUUGGCUUACCAUGGUUUCAACGGGUAACGGGGAAUUAGGGUUCGAUUCCGGAGAGGGAGCCUGAGAAACGGCUACCACAUCCAAGGAAGGCAGCAGGCGCGCAAAUUACCCAAUCCCGACACGGGGAGGUAGUGACAAUAAAUACUGAUACAGGGCUCUUUUGGGUCUUGUAAUUGGAAUGAGUACAAUUUAAACCUCUUAACGAGGAACAAUUGGAGGGCAAGUCUGGUGCCAGCAGCCGCGGUAAUUCCAGCUCCAAUAGCGUAUAUUAAAGUUGUUGCAGUUAAAAAGCUCGUAGUUGAACCUUGGGUCUGGCUGGCAGGUCCGCCUCACCGCGUGUACUUGUCCGGCCGGGCCUUCCUUCUGGAGAACCUCAUGCCCUUCACUGGGCGUGUUGGGGACCAGGACUUUUACUUUGAAAAAAUUAGAGUGUUCAAAGCAGGCCUUUGCUCGAAUACGUUAGCAUGGAAUAAUAGAAUAGGACGUGCGGUCCUAUUUUGUUGGUUUCUAGGACCGCCGUAAUGAUUAAUAGGGACAGUCGGGGGCAUCAGUAUUCAAUUGUCAGAGGUGAAAUUCUUGGAUUUAUUGAAGACUAACUACUGCGAAAGCAUUUGCCAAGGAUGUUUUCAUUAAUCAGUGAACGAAAGUUAGGGGAUCGAAGACGAUCAGAUACCGUCGUAGUCUUAACCG
Molecule: ribosomal RNA, 933 nt
Filed under: Leptospora thailandica
Lineage: Eukaryota; Fungi; Ascomycota; Dothideomycetes
Description: SSU rRNA
Rfam family: Eukaryotic small subunit ribosomal RNA
Source: RNAcentral